Long non-coding RNA from Hyla sarda, 782 nucleotides. RefSeq lists it as uncharacterized. The transcript has 5 exons. The record is from RefSeq and is a predicted model, not a curated record. Lineage: Eukaryota; Metazoa; Chordata; Amphibia; Anura; Hylidae.
CGCGCUGUCAACUUGAGGAUCAGAAUGCAUUGGCAUAGUGAGGAGACGUCUGGGCAUCAAGUUCUGCAGAGAGAAGAUUUAGCUGGAACAAAUCCUGGCGCCAAUCAGAGAGCAGCACUACUGAAAUAGAACUCCCAGGAGGUAACAGCGUGUCACACAUGUGAUGUCAUAACCAUUGUCCACCAAAGAGCAGCACUGAGCAGAAAUAACACUGCUCCUGUUCAUUCUCCAUCAGUGAGGGGCCGGUGCUGGACACUGUGUAGGGACGCGGGAAUGCAAAGUCAUACACAUGACUGUGACUGAUGCACUAUCUCCAGGACAUGGAGUAGCAUUUCCGGACCUACAGCAAGACGUUGGAUGAAGGCAUAGCCCCAGAAAUAACACUGGUCCUGUUCAUCAGUGAGGGGCCGGUGCUGGACACUGUGUAGGGACACGGGAAUGCAAAGUCAUGCACAUGACUGUGACUGAUGCACUAUUUCCAGGACAUGGAGUAGCAUUUCGGGACCUACAGCAAGACGUUGGAUGAAGGCACAGGCCUAGGAAUCAUGCACAUACACAGAAACAUUUGCCCAAAUUAUAGAGGUAACCUCCUUUAGUAUGCCCAGAGGAAGGGCCAUACAGUAGCCAUGGAUUCCCUACAGGUUUCCUCCCCUCUGGAGGUUUUUCCUGUCCUGAGUAUUAGUUACUGUACGCUCUUUGUGAGUGAUGGGAGGUUACAAAAAAUCCCCUACACAAACAUUUUAAUAAAUAAUAAAUAAAGUUCCCCUUUUUUUAAACUGUUC